Molecule: unclassified non-coding RNA, 374 nt
Filed under: Bombus terrestris (buff-tailed bumblebee)
Lineage: Eukaryota; Metazoa; Arthropoda; Insecta; Hymenoptera; Apidae
Description: misc RNA ENSBTSG00005028805.1
Source: RNAcentral
AAUACAUUCUUUGUAAUUCAAGUUGACAGCAAACAAAGUCCUGAAUACACAGAUUCAGUGAGGUAAUAAUCAACGGUCAUUGAAUCUUUCGGCAUUGAUGUCGAUCAAGAUUCAAACCGAAAGUCGAACAGCGAAAACGGAAGAAACAGAAACGUACGUAAAUCAAUGUGAAACAAGGGACAUUUCAACUGGCGAUCAACGUCUUUUAGCAAUAUUUUGAUCCCUGCGCCUAUUAUCGGCAGAUGAUCCUCGAUCGAUUCGGAACUCGAUAAAGUAACCGGCAGGUGGGCGAGAAGGAUCGCAAAGAGAAUACUGCAGACAAAUGUUGCACUUAUCAACCGGUUCUUCAUGGCGCUUUGUGAAAGUUGAUUUAU